RNAcentral lists this non-coding RNA (25 nucleotides) under Mus musculus (house mouse). The record is from RNAcentral. Lineage: Eukaryota; Metazoa; Chordata; Mammalia; Rodentia; Muridae.
UGAACCUCCCAGGUCCAGCCAUCUC